Molecule: microRNA precursor, 100 nt
Organism: Gallus gallus (chicken)
Lineage: Eukaryota; Metazoa; Chordata; Aves; Galliformes; Phasianidae
Source: Ensembl
GAGCGUGAUGUGCUGGGGAUCUCAUGCUGUGCUUCACUCUCACUGCGGGGCCUGUGAGGUGUGAGUGGAAGUCAGAGGUGGAAGCCCUUGAUUAGAGUUU